This is a long non-coding RNA of Varroa destructor (honeybee mite), 3585 nucleotides long. RefSeq lists it as uncharacterized. Lineage: Eukaryota; Metazoa; Arthropoda; Arachnida; Mesostigmata; Varroidae. The record is from RefSeq and is a predicted model, not a curated record.
UGCACAUUUAUCGCUUAUAAACUAAAUUCGAAAGCUUUCGGUUACCAAACAAAAUAAAGGCACAACGCACUAAAGAUAGAUAGCAGAGAAAAUUCUGAUUGGCAAUUUUUCAUCUCAGUAACAAAGAGAUUCUCUCAGCGUAAUACUAGGUCAGCAGUUGACUUUUCUCUGUUGGCUAUUCUCAAUGGACCGAUGUGAGACGUCAACUCGGCUCGAUUUACGCUGACUACAGCGACAAACUCAGCCUCAGGUGCCUCGACGACGUAUCGUUUUUGUUCUUUCUUAGGAUUGCAUGCCGACCAAUAGUAUAACGAUUGACUCAAGGCUGCACUUUAUAGCUUUGUUCAAUGCUGUCUAGAACGUGGACAUGUUACUGUAUAGUAAUACUGUAUGGGUGGCCCGGCCAAAGUGAUAACCUGAACUACGGAUUUUGGUAGAGAUCAAAAACCUUGGAUAUUGGUGUGCGCAUUUGUUUCUACUUAACAAAUGCGGGAAGCUUUGCAUGGUGAAUUCUCUAUGAAAAUUUAUUUGUUAUGAAGCAUAUAGCAAAGCUCGUUCUCCAGAUGGGUCAACGUUUCGUGACAAACGUGACGUUUUUAGCUGACCACAGCAGCUUCGAGAUUACAUCAUCCAGCUUUUAGGCGAAUAGGUUUCUCAUACAAUCAGGCCUGCUGAGAUUGGCUACUGAAACUUUCGUAGUGCUGCUGUAGGCUUGCUGCAGGUAAAUGUGAGAGCCUUCAUAUUCAGACCGUAUAUGUCGCUGCAGCAUCCUACAAGAAUCUGCUUUACCACGCCUAACUUUUUCGACCUCAUUUACUCAGGUUUUACAUAUGCACAGCAUUAUGCGAGUGGAACCCGUAUCACCAAAAAUAGGGAGUUGUUACCAUAAAAAGCUACACACGGGGAAGAGCUUCCGAUUUUUCUCAACAACAGACCAAUCCAGGUGAAUCAACUGGUAACUUCACCAGUACAGUGAAGCUGUGUCUGAACGUAAGUUGUAAAUCUGGUAAAGAGCUAAUAUAACGGAUCCUACCCGCCACAAUUAUGCCAAUACGCUGACAGAGCGCUUCGCACUCUUCUAUCGAGCGAGAAGUCAGCAUGCACGCGUGAGGUGAACCUACUCCGCGUUGAAAAGCUGUUAGCGCAUUGCCAAACCUUUCGACACGCUGUAGUGUCGAUGCUCGCCGUUGGCUCAAGGAAGAGAAGCGGCGGAUUACAGACAAUUGUUAAACCGCUGCACAGUUUCUAUUUCGUUCGACCACUGAAGUUAUGCAUCAACGUAUCAGCAUGGUCUGACAGAUCGGUGGUAUGUACAGUCAGAUCACAACACUUAUUUUGCGCGAUGUUUUCUCUUUGUUGCUUGAUUAGACGCCCUCGUCAAUGUUAUUGUUGUUGCCCAACGGUGUUUAAUUAACUAUUAAUUUUUUAGUAGUCGUCGACAAAAAAUAUUAAAAACGUUCUUGGUAUCUGGCUCUUGUUUAUACCCAAUAUACUCAUAUAACAAUAUCUUAUCUGGUGUUUCUUUUUACCAAUAAGCUUUGCUUGAUCAAAUUCAAAAUGCUCGUACGUUGCUCAUUAGGGCGGGCAAGAUCAAUUUUCUUUACAGACAAAAAAGAUUGCCAUUCAUCGGGGGCAAGAAGGUGAAAGCAUCUUCGCCUCACUGUAUAUAAUUUGCUUCCGUUAUUCCUUUUCUUAGCUAGAGGCUCUAACUAGAAUUUUGGCUGAUAUUGCUGUCUAUCUGCCUGUCCCUGUCUGCUUUGCUUCAUAUCGAAUUUGACCAGGUCAUGAGUAGAACAGCCCCAGAGGGUAUAGGUCUUGCAAGAUAUCCACCAGUGGCUGCCCUUCCUUCCAAGUACGUCGAGCUCACGAAAACGGCCCUAAGAUCGUACUCAUCCAAAUCUUGCCGCCACGGUGACCUUACCCAUGGAAGUAAUUCGCCUGGCUUGAUAAAGUUCUUCCUUGUCCCAAAUAAAUAUUCGUCUGUAGGAAGUAGGCAUCAAUUGAUCAAUUGCAGUAAUUAGCUCGCGCUCGGUAUGCGCGUUUUGAAUGUAUUCAGAUGUAACAGAACAAAACCGUAUAAUACGCAUAGAUACAGUUCUUAAUAAUAAAACCUACUUAAAUGUCUACUAGCUGAACUUGCUUAUGAAUAUCGGUCGACGUAGCUUGCAGCAUGCGAUAUCGGUUCCAGUACACAGUGGCCACUUUCGGAAACCUAACAGAAUUGUAAUGUGGGAAUACUUUGGAUUGGAGUUGGAAUAAUAGAAUCGAAGGUCGAACAAGUUUCAGUGGUGUUUAGCAGCUUCUAAAUCACGCUUGUCUCUGACCUAAAUUGAAGGUAUUGUUCUAUUAAUCUGUAUCGAAAGACUCACGUCGCGUAGGACAGCGGCCAGCAAUGGUCAAUAAUAAACUCUGGGCUAAUCUCCUCAGCGGUGAAGGGACUUAAGAUGCAACGAUUUUGAGAAAUCUUUAUGUGUAACAAUGGCUAUGCAAGCAGAACACGAGACCAACGCGUUUAAACCUAUACACAUACCCGGAUUAUAUCUUGCUUUGUAGAUAGACCUAAAAGCACCGGCUCCAAGAAGCCUUUCCAGGGUGAAAUCGCUAAUAAGAGAGAGACACUGAAUGGCUAGUUCAGGUCGAUUCUCGAACGAGGCUACAGCACUACGCUCUGAACGCUAAUCAGCCACCCAGAAGUAUAUCGUAGUUUCGUUUGCGUACUCUGUUGAAAAGAGUAAACUGCACGAAAGCGAUCUUUUAUGAGAAAGAAUCCAAGAUUAUUUACGUUGAAACAUCUCCAGUCCACUAACGACUUGACGAUUUUGUUUUUCUUUUGCCGCAGUGUAAGAAACGGCUCUUCUGCCGUCGCUCACAAUGACUACUGCAACUCAAACCACUUCGUCGCUCUUCUUACCGGCACAGAGGCGCCACAUCACCACGAGGCAUCCGACAGUAAAUCCUUCUGCUUUUCCUAAUUUUUUUUUGUAUAUAUAAUUGUACCCCAUUCUUCUGCGUUCUCAAUGUUUCUCUGUAGUAAUACUGAUUUCGGCUGAACCUGUGGGAAAAAUGUGUACUAAAGACGAGGUUGCACCCAAGAAGCCUAAGUUUAACGACAUGGUCUCUGUGCGCAGUUAUCACGAACACACAUGUUCCGAACUGAUACUUUAGUUCUUAUAAAUUCAGAUAUAUAUUUUAUUAUAGUAAAAUAAUUACGCAGUGAAUCGAUAAGAACUAGGGUAUCGCCGUAUGAGUCUGGAGUCGAACGUCCUUCUUGAAAGUGCGACGUGAUGUUCACGCCAGCACCGCCGGAGUAACUGAGCCCGAAGCUAAAUGCGUUAAAAGGUAUUUAUGCCCAAAAUUAUAUUCAUUCCAUUCAAUGAAAACUUAGAAUGAGAACUUAGACAUCACGAACACGUAUGCCGAUUACGCAAGAAAAAGAAACACCCAGGAAAACGAAAAUAGACACCUAUUCGUUUAAUAUUUGAACUGCUGGUUUCAUAUAUGUUUCUUACAACAAAACCUCGCUUUAUUUUAUAUAUACAUGUAUAUAUUUUGUUUGUAUAUGUAUAUGGGCAACACUUACCCUAA